This 458-nucleotide ribosomal RNA is filed under the name uncultured bacterium. RNAcentral describes it as "partial 16S ribosomal RNA". It matches the Rfam family "Bacterial small subunit ribosomal RNA", at positions 338 to 795 of the family's 1533-position model. The record is from RNAcentral.
CCUACGGGAGGCAGCAGUGAGGAAUAUUGGUCAAUGGGCGAGAGCCUGAACCAGCCAAGUCGCGUGAGGGAGUACUGCCCUAUGGGUUGUAAACCUCUUUUGUCGGGGAGCAAAAGCCGGACGUGUCCGGCUGUGAGAGUACCCGAAGAAAAAGCAUCGGCUAACUCCGUUCCAGCAGCCGCGGUAAUACGGAGGAUGCGAGCGUUAUCCGGAUUUAUUGGGUUUAAAGGGUGCGCAGGCGGAUUUUUAAGUCAGCGGUAAAAUCGUGGGGCUCAACCCCAUCCAGCCGUUGAAACUGGGGAUCUAGAGUGUGCGAGAGGUAUGCGGAAUGCGUGGUGUAGCGGUGAAAUGCAUAGAUAUCACGCAGAACCCCGAUUGCGAAGGCAGCAUACCGGUGCACAACUGACGCUCAGGCACGAAAGCGUGGGUAUCGAACAGGAUUAGAUACCCUUGUAGUC